RNAcentral lists this ribosomal RNA (511 nucleotides) under uncultured archaeon. RNAcentral's name for it is "bacterial SSU rRNA". It matches the Rfam family "Archaeal small subunit ribosomal RNA", at positions 341 to 856 of the family's 1478-position model. The record is from RNAcentral.
GCGAAAACUUUACAAUGCGGGAAACCGUGAUAAGGGAACUCCGAGUGUCCGUAAAUGCGGACUGUCCGUAUGUUUAAAAAGCAUGCGAAGAAAGGGCCGGGCAAGACCGGUGCCAGCCGCCGCGGUAAUACCGGCGGCUCGAGUGGUGGCCACUAUUACUGGGCUUAAAGCGUUCGUAGCUGGGUUGUUAAGUUUCUUGGGAAAUCUACCGGCUUAACCGAUAGGCGUCCAAGGGAUACUGGCAAUCUAGGGACCGGGAGAGGUGAGGGGUACUUCAGGGGUAGGAGUGAAAUCCUGUAAUCCUUGGGGGACCACCUGUGGCGAAGGCGCCUCACCAGAACGGCUCCGACAGUGAGGGACGAAAGCUGGGGGAGCAAACCGGAUUAGAUACCCGGGUAGUCCCAGCCGUAAACGAUGCGCGUUAGGUGUAUCGAUGACCACGAGUCAUCGAGGUGCCGAAGGGAAACCGUGAAACGCGCCGCCUGGGAAGUACGGUCGCAAGGCUGAAACU